GCUCUUGUGGCUGGUAUAGCUUGGCUGGUACAGUAUGAGACUCUUAGUGUCAGGGUCGUGGGUUCAAGCCCCAAGUUGGGCA
This is a non-coding RNA of Podarcis lilfordi (Lilford's wall lizard), 82 nucleotides long. Lineage: Eukaryota; Metazoa; Chordata; Lepidosauria; Squamata; Lacertidae. The record is from the annotation of a GenBank genome assembly.